RNA transcript from Gossypium arboreum, 7074 nucleotides. It is a transcript of the gene named polyadenylation and cleavage factor homolog 4, with no coding region annotated. The transcript is spliced from 9 exons. The record is from RefSeq and is a predicted model, not a curated record. NCBI's taxonomy places the organism in Eukaryota, Viridiplantae, Streptophyta, Magnoliopsida, Malvales, Malvaceae.
UGAAAUCUUAGGCCCUCCCACUCACCUUCUGGACUGACCUUUGCAUUAUUGGACAUCCACAAUCUCCAUAUUUACAAUUAGCCUCUUUUAACCUUCCUCCUUUCUUUAUCUCCACCCAGCCUCUCCCUCUUCUUUCAAAUUCUUCUUUCUGAAAAUAUUUUCUCUGCAUUUUUUCUUUUUGAUCGAUAUUCUUUGUUCCUUUACGUUUAGAAAUUAGAAUUAGAAUUAGAAUUAGAAUUAAAAUUAGAAUCGUUUCUUUCUUUUUUCUUUUUCUUUUUCUCUCUUUUUUAUUUUUUUUAUUUUUAUAUAUGAUAAUCCAUAGGGUUUUAUUUUGUUCCCUUUCUUGUAUAGGGUUUUGGAUUUUUUAAAGUUUCGAUUUAGGCUAUUGUAAUAUUGUAAUUUUCCCCCCUUUUGGUAAAUUGAUAUGCCAAUUUGACUGUAAACGAGAAUAAGAGUGAUUAUCGAUUUAGGAAUUUAGGGUUUUCGAUUUGCUUACAUGGAGAAUCCGCGUAGAUCAUUUGAUAGGUCCAGAGAACCUGGUUUGAAAAAACCACGGUUAACUGAAGACCUCACUCCGAACCCUAAUAUCCGGCAUUUUUCUCAACGAACGAACCCAGUUGGUCCCGCCUCUGGUUUGAGAUUCCGGUCCAAUGAUUCCGACACCAAUGAUUUGACCCGUGGCGACGGUGGAGCUUACGAGCCACAACCAGUGUCACAUCAGCAGCAACACCACCAGCAGCAAGAGUUAGUUAGCCAGUAUAAGACGGCGUUAGCUGAGCUCACUUUUAACUCGAAACCAAUUAUUACUAACUUGACAAUAAUCGCUGGCGAGAAUGUUCAUGCCGCCAAGGCCGUUGCUGCAACUGUCUGCGCUAAUAUUCUUGAGGUUCCCAGUGACCAAAAGCUGCCAUCACUCUAUCUUUUAGAUAGUAUUGUAAAGAAUAUUGGGAGAGACUACAUUAAAUGUUUUGCUGCCAGAUUACCUGAGGUGUUCUGCAAAGCAUAUAGACAAGUUGAUGCUCCCUUGCAUCAGAGUAUGCGACAUCUUUUUGGAACCUGGAAAGGGGUAUUCCCUCUUCAGACUCUCCAAGUGAUUGAAAAGGAACUUGGCUUCACUCCUUUGGUAAAUGGUUCAUCUUCAGGAAACACAACAUCUAGAAUGGACACACUGUCACAGCGUCCACCACAAAGCAUUCAUGUAAACCCGAAGUAUCUAGAGAAGCAGCGUCUUCAACAAUCAAGCAGGGCGAAAGGUAUGGUCAAUGAUAUGGCUGGGACUUUGGCCAACUCAAAGGAGGAGUCUGAGAGGCCAGAUAGAGGACGCAGCAUAGCUGGACUGUCGUACGGAGAUCAUUCUGUUAAAAUGAAUACUCCUGGCAUAGAAGUUAGAAGAACCAGGGGGAAUGUUACUGAUCAGGGGCUUGAUGCACCUUGGUUUGGAGCUACAAGCAGCAUUACUGAGACUAUUCCCGGCCAGAGGAAUGGUUUCAACAUUAAGCCUGGAUCUCUAAAUUACUCAGCAUCCAAAUCUGUGAAUGCUGAUCCUCGUUUACAGGUAACACAUAACAUUUCUGGUAGAAACAGCAGUGGGUUGUCUAGCAGCUGGAAAAACUCUGAGGAGGAGGAGUUUAUGUGGGAGAUGCACUCUAGGUUGUCUGAACAUGAUGCAGCCAACUUCUCUAAUAACUUGAGGAGAGAUCGUUGGACUCCUGAUGUUUCAGAAAAAAUGGAUUUUGAAAGUCAGCUCCACAGACCUCAAAGCAUUCAUGAUGCGGGGUCAAGGUUUGAUAGAGAUACUUCUGCUGAUGCAUUAUCCACUGAGCAGGACAAAACUUCAUUUGGGCGUCAGAUUUCUACUGCAUGUACAGAUGGUUUGCCUGCUAUGAGUUCAAGACGUACUGAAAGCUAUUCUGCUACUGUUGGUGGGUUGCCUACUGGUGCAAGUUCUUCCUUGACCAGUAUAGGAAUGCGACCACAAACAAAUUCAUCCCGUUUGGGAGCCUCAGGUGUCGAGAUUUUGACGAAUGUGGCAUCAGGAUCCACAGGUACUUCAGGAAAGCAGCGUUUUCAGCCCAUGGGAACUGCAUCACCUCCUGAACAGUCUCCUAUGCGCCAACAUUCACCUUCACCUUCUUUUCCUGCACGCCAUCCCCAUCAACAGCUACAGAAAUUGACUGAUCCAGACUAUCAGCAAGCUGUUUCCCUGCUUCCGGCUGAUCUGAAACCAUCCAAUUUUUCAGUGAAGUUAAAUGUUGGGUCUCAUAGACGCUCUCCUCAUACUUCUGCUUCUUUGCAUCCUAGCCUUCGUUCUCACCUUUCACAGCCUCCACAACCAGACUCUGUGCAGGCUGAACCUUCUGGUCAGACUCAGAAGCCUCUUCCGUCUCAAAUCUCCAAAGUAGAAGCAGCCUCAACACUUGGAAGUGCAUUGGAGCAUUCCAAUCCUCUUGCAAUUCAAUCUUCAGAAUUAUCAAGUACGAGUAAUCUAUUAGCUGCUGUAAUGAAGUGUGGAAUCCUCUCCAGCACUUCAUUUACUGGCAGCCUUCCAACUAAGAUUUCUCAAGAUGGGGGGCAAAUUUCUCAGCCUUCAGUCCCAAAUCGGCCUCCUGCUGUUUUAACAACCUCAGGUUUGAUGCUUGAUAGUGCAAUUUCAUCUGGUUCUGCAACCCAUGAUUCAAUAGCAGCUACACCAAAUAGUUCCCGGGAAAAAGUAGAACAGCUGCCACUGCCUCCUGGACCACCACCUUCAUCUCUUGUUAGUAAUGCCCCAUCACCAACUUCUGAUGUUGAAAGCAAGGAUACAAAUCCUAUAUCCAACCUUCUGAGCUCAUUAGUUGCCAAAGGUUUGAUAUCUGCGGCAAAGAAGGGUGCUGCAUCUCUUCCAAUGCCCAUCCAAAUACAAAAGAGCCCAGGAAUUGAGAGGCCAACUGAAUCACUGAACAAGAAUUCAGACAUUCAGAGUUCAUCUGAUGCUCCUCGAUCCUCCACAAUGGAUGAGAUACCACAUGCUGAACCUGCUCCGAAAUGUUCAGUUGCCUCACAUCAGUUCACCUCAACAGAAGUAGAAAGCUUCAUAGGAUUAGAACUCAGGCCCGACGUAAUCAGAGAAUUUCAUUCAUCUGUGAUCAGUGGAUUGUUGGAUGACCUUCCACAUUGUUGCAGCCUAUGUGGUCUUCGACUUAAGCUUCAGGGAAGGCUUGAUAGACACUUAGAGUGGCAUGAAAUGAAGAAAACUGAAUCAAGAGGUUCUGGUAGGGCAUUGAGGGGAUGGUACCCAAAGUUAGAUGAUUGGCUUGCUGGAAAGCCUGGGCAAUUGGUAUUUGGUUCCACUGGUUCUCUGAACAAGUUGGAAAAGACAACAGAAAAGGCUGAGCUUAUGGUUCCUGCAGAUGAAAAUCAGUGUGCAUGCUUGUUAUGCGGCGAGCUAUUUGAAGAUUAUUUUAGCCUGAACAGGGGUGAAUGGAUGUUUAAGGGAGCAGCAUACUUGGCUAUCCCAUCAAAGGAGGGUGGGGUGGGAACUACUGAUGGCUGUGCAGCCUACAGCCCCAUUGUGCAUGUAAAUUGCAUGUCAGAAAGUUCAGUUCUGGAUUUGGGACUUUCUGGUGAUAUUAAAGUGGAAAUGGAAGAAUAACGCUGUAAUGUGAAUGAAUGGAGAUAUCAGUUGCAGUGCCAUUAGUAGAGCCCUGACCAAAGAAUCCAGAUGGGUCCAUUUGAAGGGCCACGAAAAGGGCAAGGAAGAGGUCGGAAGAGCCUCUGGACCUUGUUGAUCCGAUUGUGAAUAAUAAGGGCAUCAAAGUGGAUUCGAAUAAAGCUUAAAGAGUGUUAACAAACUGUUGGGAUCAUUGUUUAAAGAGAAAAGGUUUCAAGUUGAAGAGGAAUUUGAUCUACUCAAGGGAGUUGCUAAGAAAGAGUUGAUAUAUGGAACUCCUUCCAUCACUUUUUCAGAUCAAGUAAACGCAUGGCUAGAACUGCCAUAGUGAUAUUACUGGGUAGGAAGAUCUCAUACUCGACCAUGGUCAAUAGGCUGAAAGUUCUCUUAAAUACUAAAAAACCAAUACAAGUCAUUGAUUUGGAGAACAAUUACUUUUUUUGUGAAGUUCCAAGACGAUGAUGAUUAUCUCUAUGCAUUAUCAGGAGGGCUAUGGACCAUUUUCAGCCAAUACCUCACUGUACGUCCUUGGUUCCUGACAUUUUCAAUUGCACAAAGUCAAUCAAGUGACUUGAUAGUCUAGAUCAGACUACCUACACUACCAGAAGGAAUGUACAUAGAGUUUGUUUAAAUUUAUUGGUAGUGCAAUUGGGCUGGUUGCGAAAAUAGAUUGGAAUAUUGAUAGUAAAUCUAGGGGCCAAAUUGCGAUACUUGCAGUCUAUAUCGACUUUGGGAAACCCAUGGUUUCGAAAAUCCUUAUUGAAGGUAGGAUUCAAUGUGUGGAAUAUGAAUCCUUAUCUUUGGUGUGUUUCGGAUAUGGGCGAUUCGGGCACGUUCGUGAAUCUUGCAGUUACAAUUUCGAGCAGGAUGAAACGAUGGAGAAAUUGGAGUCAGUUAACUUGGGUAAGACAUCAAAGUCUGAAGAAAAAUCCAAUGAAGAUCUGUUUGGGCCAUGGAUGCUAGUGGAGCGAAGGAAACCACAAACUUUUAAAUCAACGACAAUAAAAUCUAGUGGAAUCAACGGUGGCACAAUGGUCAGAAGGUCCAAAUUUGAAGUUCUCAACGUAGAUCAAGGAGAACUUGAUGGGUCAACAGCAACAUCGUUGAUGGACGAUAUUGAAAAUUAGGAGUUGUUUUCAUGUGAUUUGGGGAAAUAAAAUCUAGAGAAUUCUAGAAAUUCCCCCAACAAAAGCCACAAUUAAUAAAAGAAGGUUGAGAAAAUAUAAAGGUAAAGGGAUAGCUUUAGUAUCUAGAUCUAAAAUCAAGCCUUUCGAUGGCAGAUUUAGGGUAUAGGGUAUAGGGUUUAAGGUUACGAUCGAGUCAGGAUCUGGGUUGUGCAGCAAUCUUUUCGAUGGCAGAUCUUCUAUGGGUUUAAAACUAAUGGACCAGGGACUCAAGUCCAUUAGGUUUCAAGUAGUGGGGCACGGUUUGAAUAAGAAAAAUCAUACAGUAGUGAAGGUAUUGUCUGAAAAAGGAUUUUUUUGGGGAAACUGAGUCGGGGGCAGUGAUUGUUUCUGUUUCGAGCGUGAAUAGAAGAGAAGGGUUCGGACACCAGUCAAUGGUUGGGGCCGUCGAAGCAGGUGAAAAUUUUGGGCCAAAGCCAGUAAUGCUGUCAGACGAGGAUAAUGGAUUGGUUCCAGUCGAUCGAGCGAUUGGGGAUUUGGUUGCUGACCUUAGUAGGGAGUUUGGAGAGGAUGCUACAAUCGAUGGUGAUACUACUGAGCCUUAAGGGUCUGAUGUUGAAUUAUUGGUAGACACCGUUUUGGCGUAAUCCCAGGUAAUCCCUAACCUUAGACGAUUUGGAGCCGCGAGGGACUCAGUGGUGGCCACACUUCCGCAGAUUGGUUGUUAAUAACUCAAUUUAUUUAAGCUUUCAUAUUUGGGUUUUAGUUAUGUAAUAAGGCCAUUUGGGGGUUUUUAACUUUUAAUGGGCUUUUGAUUUCUUAUAUUAAACUGCUAGUAUAGGAAAACUCAAGUUUUCAAACUAUUCAGGAUUUUCUAAAGAACAUGAGUUUUAAACAACAAAGUUUUCAAAAUAGCUUUCGCGAUUUAAGUUGAAUUAAUAUCCCAAAGGGAAAUAUUUUGAGCAAAUGUAUGUGACGAGAUGAUUUGCUAACCCCAUACAAAAGGUUUUACUUUUAGAAAUAAACUUUUAUCGACAACUUGAUUUUUGAAUGACGCUUUGAUGUAACACACCAGAUUCGACCGUAGCGUCUAGGCCGGGUUUGGGGUGUUACAGUCACUUAGUCAAUUUCUGGAACGAUGAUUGGGUGCUAGAAAUUGGUCCUCUAUGAAUAUUCUAUCUUGGACCUAGGGAGUCAGAUGACACGAUUUUAGUAUGUGACAUGGCUCUCUUGGAUGGAAUCUUGAAUAUAUAGUGGUUAUCUUCAGUUCUCCUCAGAGGAAUUUUAACACAUAUUCUUGCACAUAAAGCACCUACCAGUGGAGUUGAUUCGAACUUUGUUUCCUAGAAAUGGACAUUGGCAGGGAAGUUUUUGUGUCGUGGAGUCUUACAAAUAUCUUUUUUUUGUGGAUGAUUCAGGACAUUUUAGAAGUGACAAGCUAAUAUGGAAGAUUGCAACCCCUCAACGAGUCAAGAUCUUUUUGUGGUUGCUUAUUCAUGGUCGACUACUGACGAAAGAGGAGCAUGCUAGAUGAGGUAUGACUCAAGUUCCAUUUUGCUUGCAAAAUGGUGCCAUUUUGCUUGCAAAAUUGUGCCAUUUUGGAAUCUACAUUGCAUGUUGUUAAGGAUUGUUCGUUUGCACAAUCAGUUUGGAAAGCAGUUGUCUUUAUGAAAUAUUAGAGAUGUUUUUUCAAUUUCCCUCUUGAAAAAUGGAUCACGUGGAACUUAAAAAAUGAAGGUAAAUUUGUGUUUGGUUGUGGGCACUGGGAGGUUUUUUUGGGAUUGUUUGUUGGUUUGUUUGAAAAAGCAAAAAUGAUGCCAUAUUUAAUCGGGUGAAUAGGAACGACAGAAAUAUUAUUUCCUCAACUAUUGCAUAGACUAAAUCAUUACAAACAGGAGGGGAAAUUGAAAAAUGGGCUUGCAAAUCUAUAAUGGUGAAUAGUUGGCAAAAUUCGACCUUCGGAUGGAUCAACAUUAAUGUUGAUGGAUCGUGUUAUCAUAGAGCAUUUAAGAGCAGCAAUCAGUGGUGUGGCGAGGGGACCAACCGAUGACUGGAUGGUUGGUUUUAAGAUGGCAAUAGGUGUAACAGAUACUUCCCAAAUUGAAGCCAGAGCAGUUCUUUAAGGGUUGAGACUAGCCUAGGAUAAAGGUUUUAGACAAGUCAAAUUGGAAAGUGACGAUGUUUUGCUUAUUGAGGUUCUUUAAAUCAGACUUGUAGUAGUUAGCAAUGUUUUUGAAAUUUAGAUGAUUAACGACUUAUGUUCCAGUUAUUGGCAAGUAAAAUUCAAGAACAUUCGAAGAA